Ipomoea nil (Japanese morning glory) is the source of this 448-nucleotide long non-coding RNA. RefSeq lists it as uncharacterized. NCBI's taxonomy places the organism in Eukaryota, Viridiplantae, Streptophyta, Magnoliopsida, Solanales, Convolvulaceae. The transcript has 2 exons. The record is from RefSeq and is a predicted model, not a curated record.
UGUUCUAGGAUAACAUUUACGGUUGUGGGACUAAGAGGGGGAUUAGGAAGGAUAGGUCCAGUAGUUCUCCUUAAUCCCAUGCUUUGUUUGAUAAUUUCAGAUUUUCAGCCCACGAUUAAGUGAAAUGGGCUUCACCUAACUAAUACUAACAUUUAGGGCUGUUUGGUUUGAGGAGGAUAGUCCAAUACUCCUUAAUUCCAUCCCUGGUUUGAUUUUUUGGCCCCAGGAUUAAGUGAAAUUGGCUUUACCUUUCAGGCGGGAUUAGAUAGUCUCAGGUAGGGUGUGGGAUUAUAAUCCCACAUUCCCACCACAAAAAUCUGAACAGGAUUGAAGAAAAAUACUCGUUCUCAGGAAUAGUGAAAUUGGCCUUACCUUUCAUGUGGGAUUAGAUAGUCUCAGGUAGGGGGUGGGAUUAUAAUCCCACCACAAAAAUCGAACUUGAAUGAAG